This is a long non-coding RNA of Gorilla gorilla gorilla (western lowland gorilla), 7232 nucleotides long. RefSeq lists it as uncharacterized. Lineage: Eukaryota; Metazoa; Chordata; Mammalia; Primates; Hominidae. The transcript is spliced from 3 exons. The record is from RefSeq and is a predicted model, not a curated record.
UCUUUUUCUGAAACAGGGUCCUGCUCCGUCAUGCAGGCUGCAGUGCAGUGGCAUGAACUUGACUCACUGCAACCUCCACCUCCUAAGCUCAAGCAAUCCUCCCACUUCAGCCCCCCGAGUAGCUGGGAUUACAGGCACGAGCUACCACACCUGGCUAGUUUUUUUGUAUUUUUUGUAGAGAUGGGAUUUUGCCAUGUUCGCUGAUCUCUAACUCCUAGGUCAAGCCAUCCGCCCACCCUAGCUUCCCAAAGUACUGGGAUUACAGGCGUGAGCCAUUGCACCUGGCCGAUUGCCAAUUGCCAAUGCCUCAACACCUUCUUUCAUGUUUUAAAUAAACAAUUUUUUAUUUAAAUAAAUAAAUGAGAAAUAAAAUAAUCUCUUUUUCUUUUGAGAUGGCAUCUCACUCUGUCGCACAGGCUGGAGUGCAGUGGCACAAUCUCAGCUCACUGCAACCUCCACCUCCCGGGUUCAAGUGAUUCUCCUGUCUCAGCCUCCUGAGUAGCUGGCAUUGCAGGUGCACGCCACCAAGCCCGGCUCAUUUUUGUACUUUUAGUAGAGAUGGGGUUUCACCAUGUUGACCAGGCUGGUCUCGAACUCCUGACCUCAGGUGAUCUGCCUGCCUCGGCCUCUCAAAGUGUUGGGAUUACAGGCAUGAACCACUGAGCCUGGUCUGGUGAGCCAAUUUUUAUAUUUGUUAUAGAGACAAGAGAGACAAGAGUCUCCUUAUGUUGCCCAGGCUGGUCUCGACCCCCUGGCCUCAAGUGAUCCUCCCACCUCAGCCUCCCAAGUAGCUAGGACUAUAGGCAUGUGCCAUCAUGGCGAGUUAAUUUUUUGUGUGUUUUUAUUGUCUCGAGACAGAGUCUUGCUCUGUUGCUCAGGCUGGACUGCAAUGGCGUGAUCUUGGCUCACCGCAACCUCCACCUCCUGGGUUCAAGCGAUUCUCCUGCCUCAGCCUCCCGAGUAGCUGGGAGUAGAGGUGCGUGCCACCAUGCCUGGCUAAUUCUGUAUUUUUAGUAGAGACAGGGUUUCGCCAUGUUGGUCAGGCUGCUCUCAAACUCCUGACCUCGUGAUCCACCUGCCUCGGCCUCUCAGAGUGUUGGGAUCACAGGCAUGAGCCACUGAGCCUGGCCUGGUGAGCUAAUUUUUAAAUUUGUUAUAGAGACAAGAGUCUCUCUUAUGUUGCCCAGGCUGGUCUCGACCCCCUGGCCUCAAGUGAUCCUCCCACCUCAGCCUCCCAAAGUGCUGGGAUUACAGAUGGGUGUCACCGCACCUGGCCUCUGAGGAGGAUUUCAUUAUAAACCUGCCCUGAAGGGAGAGAAUCCAAUUUUACGAGAGGGUGUAGCCUGGUGAGGCCUGGAUGACCUCCGGAGGCAGGGGCUUGUGCCUGGGCUGAGGCCUAAGGGUCAAUGGGCAGACAUGAAGUUGCCCCAGGCAGAGGGUACAGUGUGGGCAAAGUCAGGAAGUGGCAGGGCUUGGAUCACUCCAGGAAGAGAGAGGAGUCAUGUGUCACAGGAGCUCGAGACCCAGAGAGGGAGGCAGGCAGGCAGGCAGGGACCAAGCUGGGGCACAGCCAGGAAGGUAGGACAGGGCAUGGUGGGGCCAACGGAAUCAUUACCCAAGUCGGGGAUUUUCAGGGAAACAGCUUACAUAAGGCCAGGUGUACAGUAGCUCCCACCUGUAAUCCCAGCAUUUGAAAGGAGUUUGUGUUCCUGUAGUAGCAGACUUGGGAGGUUGAGGUGGCAGUAUCACUUGAGCCCGGGAGUUCAAGGCUAAAGUGAGCUGAUUGAGCCAUUGCACUCCAGCCUGAGCGACAGAGAGAUACGCUGUCUCAAAGGAAAUACAAAUUAAAAAACCAGCCGGGCAUGCUGGCGUGUGCCUGUAGUCUCAGCUACUUGGGACACUGAAGUGGGAGGAUCGCUUGAGCCCAGGAGUUCAAGGCUGCCGUGAGCUAUGAUUGUGCCUCUGCAGUCCAGCCUGGGCGACAGAGAAAGUCCCUGUCUCUCAAAAAAAAACAAAAAAAAAAAACUUAGAUUAAGAGGAUGCUGUGCCUCCCUGGGGGUCUUCAGUCACCCAUGGUCCUGGCAAGAGGAGGGCCAAGAGAGAGCUCCACCCACCAGCUGUCCUGCCCAUGUGACAUCCGCAGGUGCUGCCAUGGCCACGACUGUUGUUACACUCGAGCUGAGGAGGCCGGCUGCAGCCCCAAGACAGAGUGCUACUCCUGGCAGUGCGUCAACCAGAGCGUCCUGUGCGGGCAGCAACAGCUGGGCUUAUAAACAGGCAUAGUCCUUUUGAAGGAUGUGGUUGAUCCUACAACAACACACUUUCCUAAGGAUGACAACAACUCACCCCACCCCUAGAAUGGCUGGUAUGAACCGAGUUUCCACACAGUCUAGCUGGCAAUGGGGUCAGGAGACGUUUUGCUACUUCACAUCUUUUGGUCACUGGUAAAUAUUAAGGUACUUUGUUUUCUGUUUUGUGAACUCUCUCUCUCUCUCUCACGAUAUGUCUUCUGACCAUUUGUUUCUAUUUCUGCAUUUACUGGGUCUAAACAUUGUACAAAGGUUAAAAACAACACUCCAAUGGGCGUUUCCCAGGAGGGUGGGGUUCAGUUUCUGAACUCACUUGUAGGUGUGUAUUUCUUUCAUAUCCAAUUUCCCAUUUUCCUCUGCCUCUGAUACAUACCUCUCCUUUUCUGCAUGCUCACAUUCUUUCAUGCUUAGUUUCCUCAGAUUAGAAGGGAGAGAAAUGCACACACAUGAUCCACCAGCCCGUGUGGGAUUCCCUCUGCCCUUCUGGCAUCUGAAGGCUGUGAUUCAAAGAUCCCCCCUGCAACCUUUCCACAAAUGAACCAACGGAUUCUCACAACCGAAGGGAGAAUUGACACCUCCCAUUGAGGGACAAAAAAAAGUCACACUCUGGCCUGCUGGCAAGUCACCUGUCAUUUCCAGCUCAUCUUCAUAGUUCCAUAGUUAGUCCUAUUCUUUAGUAAAUAUAAAGACUAUUAAAAGCUUCUACGAGGUGCACUAUGUGUGUUUCUGGGGUCAGUCUUGUGCUUGACACAGCGAAAGCUCAUUUUAGUUCAGUGUGAAAAACCAGACCUCACCAAUUCAUCACAACUAACUCCAUCGGAAGCAGAGGAUUGCUCCUCAUCUGACUCCUCCUGUGUGAGACCUGAUUCUCAGUCAGAGGCUGAUGCCGGAACUGAGACCAUCAGCCAAAGAGAGGUCCUUCCAGAAUAUGGUGUCAUUAACCCCGCAGUUCACUACUGCACUUUGCCAUGAUUCAGGACUGGAACUCUUGUCAUCGACUUUAAAGAUCCUGGUUGAGAGAAAAGGCAAUCUGAAGGCUGGGCCCAUCUAUUGAAUUACAAAUGAUUGGAAUGGCUCCUAAGUCAGGGUGUUAUGUCCUGAAAAUAGGUGACAACGGCAAACCAUCCACCCUGGUGUUGACUGACUUUAACAAGGUUCAGUUCACAGAGAUUGAGGGCAGAAAAAGGAAACGGCCUAAAAAGGGUAAGUUUGCUGUGUUGCCCUCACACCACUUGAUUCAUGGUCCUGAUCCUAAGGAUCUCACCUGAUACUUGGUUUUAUAGGAAGGAUGUGUAAAAUUCCCAGAACGCUAGGAAACAGGGACGAAAACACUUCAAAGAGAAAGUUAAUGAACUUGUUUCUGACCACAGGGCAUCCUUCAGCACAUGCUGUCUGGAGUGGCCUCCAACAAGGAGUGUGUGGUGAGGUGCUGAGAAUGCAAUGGGAGCAGGGUCCUGUCCCCACGCUAAAGAAGCUCACAGUUUAAUGCAAAUGAGAAGCCAGUGAGGACAUCACUACUCCUGCUGCGCACUUGGGAACUAGAAACAUAAAACCUGACUCUGGAGGGAAGCUAAGGAAGCAUUCUACUCUUGAGUUGACGUAAGUGCAUCUGAAGCUUCUGAUCUCCGAUGAGAACAAUGGGGGACACCAAACAGAAUAUAAAACCCAUGAUUGAAUACAUCAAAUUGCUAACAUGGCAGUAAACAGACAUGAGGUGAAGAUGGAGAAGAAGGAAACCCAGGAUGAAAGUCAGCCUCGCAUUUGGAACCCAUGUCCCUGAGUUUCAUUGCUGAAUUCCAGAAGGAACUACUGAGAUGCAAAGAAGCACAGCAGCUUUUGCACACAUGCGUGGGAUUAGAAGGAAAACAAGUGGAUUGAGGGUCUGCCAAUGAAAGCGACCCAUACUGAAGUCCACUGGCUCUGGUUGAGACCCAGAAGAGUCAUGCAUCAGAAUAGAGGUGGACAGGAAAUACCCUGGCCUUUGUAGGGACUGAGCCUGCACCGGCGACCUCAAUUGCAGCCUGUAUGGAGGACCCCUGACCAUCCCCCAGAAGUAGACUCCCAUCUCUUCCGCAGCAAGAUAACAUGCUACUAGGCCUCAAUUCAUUGCUAAAUAUUUCUUAACAAGUAUCUCACAUUUAACAAAAAAAGAUCAGUCAUAUGGCAGCAAAACACAAUGUAAUAUGACCAAAACAUGAAAGACUGUGAAAAUGAAUCUGGAGGUGACCCAAGCAUUGAAUUCAACAAUCCAGUCUGGGUGUGGUGGCUCACACUGGGAGGCUGAGGUAGGCAGAUCACCUGAGGUCAGGAGUUCAAGACUAGCCUGGCCAACAUGGUGAACUCCUGUCUCUACUAAAAUUACAAAAAUUGGGCUGGGCAUGGUGGCUCAUGCCUGUAAUCCCAGCACAUUGGGAGGCCGAGGUGUGCGGAUCAUGAUGUCAGGAGUUCUAGACCAGCUUGGCCAAUAUGGUGAAACCCCGCCCAUACUAAAAAUACAAAAAUUAUCUGGGCAUGGUGGCAUAUGCCUGUAGUCCCAGCUACUCAAGAGGCUGAGGGAUAAGAAUCACUUGAACCUGGGAGGUGGAGGUUGCAGCGAGCCAAGAUCAUGCCACUGCACUCUAGCCUGGGUGACAGAGUGAGACUCUGUCUCAAAAAAAAAAAAAAAGAAAAAGAAAAAAGAAAAAAAAAAUUGGCCAAAUGUGGUGGCACACACCUAUAAUCCAAGCUACUCGGGAAGCUGAGGCAGAAUUGCUUCAAACUGGGAGGCAGAGGUUGCAGUGAGCCAAGAUUGCACCAUAGCACUCCAGCCUGGGUGACAGAGCGAGACUGUAUCUCAAAAUUAAAAAAAAAAAAAGGCUGGCUGUGGUGGCUCACGCCUCUAAUCCCAGCACUUUGGGAGGCUGAGGCAGGUGGAUUACCUGAGGUCAGAAGUUCGAGACCAGCCUGGACAACAUGGUGAAACCCCAUCUCUAGUAAAAAUACAAAAAUUACCUGGGCGUGGUGGUGGGCACCUGUAAUCCCAGCUACUUGGGAGGCUGAGGCAGGAGAAUCGCUUGAACCCAAAAGGCAGUGAGCUGAGAUUGUGCCAUUGCACUACAGCCUGGGCAACAACAGCAAAGCUCCAUCUCAGGAAAAAAAAAAAAAAAGAGAGAGAGAAAGGAAAACCAAUGCCAGUACUAGCAACUCCUCUUCCCCCGAAAAAAUGACAAACAAGAAUGUAGGAAGGGAAAGGAAUUAUACAGCUUAAACUAAUGAAGCAGAAAGGACAAACUCAAUUUUGAACCCACUGAAUUUGCCACAAAUAUUGUAGAAAAUAUUCUCAAGGACUUUACAGUUGUCUACUUUGAUUGGCACAUGGUUCAUACAACAGUAUUUGUGUCAAGGCACAUCUUACUGUUUUUUGGCGGUCUUCCUCUUUCCACUGAUUUUGUCAUGAUGGUUGAUUUUCGCUGUCACCUUCAUCUUACGGAUUUUAGGCGUAACUUUUGUUUUCACAUGUCUCCAUAGAGUAAUGACGUCUUUCCGGCCAAUUUUAUUUCCUGGAAAGGAAGAAACUCUUUUCUUUGUGUGCAUACAAAUGGACCUCAGCCCUUGGUGAGAGUGAGGAGAGGAGAAGAGAUGGAGUUUCGCUAUGAUGCCCUGCCUAGUCUUCAACUCCUGGACUCAAGUGAUCUGCCUCUGCCCACCUCGGCCCCCUAAAGUGCUGGGAUUACAGGCCUGAGCUGUGUAAUUUCAUGCCGCGUGACACAGCCCAGUAAAAAGGAAGAAACCCCACGGGUCCAGCGUCUACUCACAGAGAUGCACUGAUGGCUGAUAAAUUCCAGCAGGAGCAAAAAGAGGAGCCAAAAGAGCAUCCACCACACCCGCAUGUCCUGGUCCUUUCAGGGCGCCCUGAGGCGGCCAGGACAGAGGUGGAGGUGGCUUAGGGCAGGGGGGAGGGAAGGGGACGGGGACCGGCCGGGAUCUGACUUGGGGAGGGGGAGGGGAGGGGGAGGGGAGGGGGAGGGGAAGGGGAGGGGAAGGGGGGAAGUAAGGGAAGGGAAAGGAGGAGAAGGGGGCUGUUGGGCACCUGGAGGAGGAGGAGGAGAAGAAGAAAGGGGUCUGGGAAAGGAUCCGGUUCAAAUUAAGUUCUCAAGCGCUGGUGGAAGGUUUAGCUACAGGUCACGGAGAAGAUCAGGGAAGCAACAGGACUCGCGGGGCAAGGGAGCGGGCAAGGGAGCGUGAGGCUUAGGAGCAAUCAGAGGGAGACAAAGGUUCUGCUAUCCACCAAACCUUCUUCGGUCUGGGCCCUCCCUUAGCAACCCUGGGGCUUUAUACUCCCUCUCCACCAAUCCCUGAUGACCCCGGUGGUGCCUCACAAUGGACAAUGCCAAGCAGCUCCCGCAUCAUUCCAAUGACCCCUCCCCCAUCUCAGUCUCCCACUCUCCUCCCAAGGACAGGUCCUCUCUGGAACCUUCACAAACCUGAUUUCUGGUCCUCCCCAACCAGCUCCCUGUCCCUGCUUCUGGGCGCUCCUUCCUUCCUGAGCUCCCAGGGUUCCUCAAGGUCACUUUUGGCGACAAAACAUAAAAAGUAAAUGAUGGCAGGAUGGCAGGAAGAACCUCAUACCCAAGCAGAGUGCCAGGUUUUACAGCCUCCGCUCAGCCAUUCAUAUCCUAAGCAACAAAACAUCAGCAGGAUGCGGAAGGUCCCGAUAGUAAACCAUCUCCAUCACAUCCAUGUAGCCAUCUGUCCAUCAACCUGUAUCUCAGGAACAAAUGUAGAUACAUUCAUUUUAAGCAUGCAUGGUAUAUUUACAAAAAUUAACCUGACUUAUUUUGUUCCAGCAAAUCUCAACAUAUUUGAGAGCAAUCAAAUCACACAGCAUGUUUCUGAUCAUAUAACUGUGCUAGAAGUCAAUGAUUAAAAGCUAAUUCAAAAUUA